AUUAUUCAUAACGACUCUCGGCAACGGAUAUCUCGGCUCUCGCAUCGAUGAAGAACGUAGCGAACUGCGAUACUUGGUGUGAAUUGCAGAAUCCCGUGAACCAUCGAGUCUUUGAACGCAAGUUGCGCCCAAAGCUUCGGCUGAGGGCACGUUUGCCUGGGUGUC
This 165-nucleotide ribosomal RNA is filed under the name Syzygium alliiligneum. RNAcentral describes it as "5.8S ribosomal RNA". It matches the Rfam family "5.8S ribosomal RNA". From Rfam's summary of the family: 5.8S ribosomal RNA (5.8S rRNA) is a component of the large subunit of the eukaryotic ribosome. Lineage: Eukaryota; Viridiplantae; Streptophyta; Magnoliopsida; Myrtales; Myrtaceae. The record is from RNAcentral. RNAcentral also lists the same sequence under 4 other names.